GAUGAACGCUGGCGGCGUGCCUAAUACAUGCAAGUCGAGCGAACAGACGAUGCUCUUGCUCCUUCCUCGUUAGCGGCAGACGGGUGAGUCACACGUAUGUCCCCUCCCUAUAAUACUGGGAUAUCUUCGGGACACCGGCUCUAACCCCGGAUAAUCUUUCGCACCGCAUUGUUCGAUAGUGAAAGAUGGCUUUUCUAUCACUUAUAGCUGCAUCUGCGCCGUAUUAGCUAGUUGGUAAGUUAACGGCUUACCAAGGCAACGAUACGUAGCCGAACUGAGAGACUGAUCGGCGACACUGGAACUGGGACGCGGUCAAGAGGCCUACGGGACGCAGCAGUAGGGAAUGGGCCGCAGUGGGGGAGAGCCUGACGGAAUAACGCGGAGUGAGUGAUGAAGGUCUUCGGAGCGUAAAACUGUGUUACUAGGGAAGAACAGACGUGGAAGUAAACGUGGAGGGCGUGACGGUACCUAAUCAGAAAGCCACGGCUAACUACGUG
This 497-nucleotide ribosomal RNA is filed under the name uncultured bacterium. RNAcentral describes it as "partial 16S ribosomal RNA". It matches the Rfam family "Bacterial small subunit ribosomal RNA", at positions 28 to 507 of the family's 1533-position model. The record is from RNAcentral.